Lates calcarifer (barramundi perch) is the source of this 663-nucleotide long non-coding RNA. RefSeq lists it as uncharacterized. The transcript is spliced from 3 exons. The record is from RefSeq and is a predicted model, not a curated record. Lineage: Eukaryota; Metazoa; Chordata; Actinopteri; Centropomidae.
CCGAGCCGAGAAGCUCCAGCUGCUACUGAGCGUUCACAUUACUGUAAUCAAGCCCCCGUUGGCACCGGCGACACUGUUCCUCUUCACCUCCUCCGCGCUUCAGAAUCAUCUUGCAUUACUAGAAAGGGCGCUGUAAACCAUGCCUCAGCUUAAAUAGGAAUUCUGGUGCAGAGCCUCCAUCAGCAGCACUCUCAUCACUGACCUAUUACUCUGCAGGGCGUGUCACAAGGGGAAUGAAUGGGCACCAGCAACUACAGCUGCAGUCUUGCCUGCAAUAUUUCACUCCUCCUACUCAGCAACCACCAUCACUACACCCUCCCUCCAACCACCAACCCCUCAUCCUCGCCUGCUACUCUGCAUGAAUAAUGCAGGGGGCCUCCUCGAUAGUCGCUACCAACAUGCCAUGGCAUGUUUUAUUCACACCAAAGUCAGACAGAUCUCCCCUCGCCACUGCCUAGAUCCGUGGGCCGCCUGCCUGCCUGCCUGCCUGCCUUCCUGUCCACCAUCCUCCAAGACGUCAGUGUGUCUGCUUGCUCCGUCUCCUUGACCCUCACAUCUGUGCAGAGGACAGAGAACACAGUUUUUAAUGGAAGCACAGAGCUGGUAGAAAAAGUAAAUAUUUGCAUUUAAUUCUGGACCCUGUCACAUCCUGCUGAAAAUAAA